Molecule: small nucleolar RNA, 145 nt
Filed under: Mus pahari (shrew mouse)
Lineage: Eukaryota; Metazoa; Chordata; Mammalia; Rodentia; Muridae
Description: predicted gene, 25125 (MGP_PahariEiJ_G0034043.1)
Rfam family: Small nucleolar RNA SNORA42/SNORA80 family
About the family: The members of this family belong to the H/ACA class of snoRNAs that guide the sites of modification of uridines to pseudouridines. Human ACA42 (SNORA42) was cloned from HeLa cells by immunoprecipitation with anti-GAR1 antibody. Its is predicted to guide the pseudouridylation of residues U109 and U572 of 18S rRNA.
Source: RNAcentral
GUAAGUCAUGCAUGGAUUUGGAUUGAUGGCAGGCUUGUCCCCCUAGGCCUCUCAUAGUAUCCCACGCUAGAGCAAAUUGUGGCUCCUAACCAUUGCCUGGCCUCCGUGCCUGUAGGCGGCUGGCACUGACGAGGGUCACACGGUG